UCGAGAUGAAUAAGAUGUUUGAUAAUGAUGAAGCAUAGACUCUGUUGAUACAAUCCUCUCUAGACAAAAGUGGCGGAGAGAGCAGUCCUUAGGGGAGAGCAUCACAGGGCUGACUGUGCUAUUCAUCAUUC
This 131-nucleotide small nucleolar RNA is filed under the name Echinops telfairi (small Madagascar hedgehog). RNAcentral's name for it is "Small Cajal body specific RNA 4 (ENSETEG00000025761.1)". It matches the Rfam family "Small Cajal body specific RNA 4". Rfam says of the family: scaRNAs are a specific class of small nuclear RNAs which localise to the Cajal bodies and guide the modification of RNA polymerase II transcribed spliceosomal RNAs U1, U2, U4, U5 and U12. The record is from RNAcentral. Lineage: Eukaryota; Metazoa; Chordata; Mammalia; Afrosoricida; Tenrecidae.